This 868-nucleotide ribosomal RNA is filed under the name uncultured bacterium. RNAcentral's name for it is "bacterial SSU rRNA". It matches the Rfam family "Bacterial small subunit ribosomal RNA", at positions 32 to 890 of the family's 1533-position model. The record is from RNAcentral.
AACGCUAGCUACAGGCUUAACACAUGCAAGUCGAGGGGAAACGACAUCGAAAGCUUGCUUUUGAUGGGCGUCGACCGGCGCACGGGUGAGUAACGCGUAUCCAACCUGCCCACCACUUGGGGAUAACCUUGCGAAAGUAAGACUAAUACCCAAUGACGUCUCUAGAAGACAUCUGAAAGAGAUUAAAGAUUUAUCGGUGAUGGAUGGGGAUGCGUCUGAUUAGCUUGUUGGCGGGGUAACGGCCCACCAAGGCGACGAUCAGUAGGGGUUCUGAGAGGAAGGUCCCCCACAUUGGAACUGAGACACGGUCCAAACUCCUACGGGAGGCAGCAGUGAGGAAUAUUGGUCAAUGGACGAGAGUCUGAACCAGCCAAGUAGCGUGCAGGAUGACGGCCCUAUGGGUUGUAAACUGCUUUUAUAAGGGAAUAAAGUGAGUCUCGUGAGACUUUUUGCAUGUACCUUAUGAAUAAGGACCGGCUAAUUCCGUGCCAGCAGCCGCGGUAAUACGGAAGGUCCGGGCGUUAUCCGGAUUUAUUGGGUUUAAAGGGAGCGUAGGCCGGAGAUUAAGCGUGUUGUGAAAUGUAGACGCUCAACGUCUGCACUGCAGCGCGAACUGGUUUCCUUGAGUACGCACAAAGUGGGCGGAAUUCGUGGUGUAGCGGUGAAAUGCUUAGAUAUCACGAAGAACUCCGAUUGCGAAGGCAGCUCACUGGAGCGCAACUGACGCUGAAGCUCGAAAGUGCGGGUAUCGAACAGGAUUAGAUACCCUGGUAGUCCGCACGGUAAACGAUGGAUGCCCGCUGUUGGUCUGAAUAGGUCAGCGGCCAAGCGAAAGCAUUAAGCAUCCCACCUGGGGAGUACGCCGGCA